GGGCAUCUGGUGUAGUUGGUUAUCACGCUCGCUUAGCAAGCAAAGGCUUGUGAAAUCAGCUCUUUAACUGUUGCGAGAGGUGAGCGGUUCAAUUCCGCUGUUGUCCA
Non-coding RNA from Mycena amicta, 107 nucleotides. The record is from the annotation of a GenBank genome assembly. NCBI's taxonomy places the organism in Eukaryota, Fungi, Basidiomycota, Agaricomycetes, Agaricales, Mycenaceae.